This 73-nucleotide transfer RNA is filed under the name Deltaproteobacteria bacterium RIFCSPHIGHO2_02_FULL_40_11. Its description in RNAcentral is "tRNA-Ala". It matches the Rfam family "tRNA". Rfam says of the family: Transfer RNA (tRNA) molecules are approximately 80 nucleotides in length. Lineage: Bacteria; Deltaproteobacteria. The record is from RNAcentral.
GGGCCGGUAGCUCAGUUGGGAGAGCGUCGCGUUCGCAAUGCGAAGGUCGGGUGUUCGAUCCACCUCCGGUCCA